UGGGGAAUAUUGCGCAAUGGGCGAAAGCCUGACGCAGCGACGCCGCGUGGGGGAUGACGGCCUUCGGGUUGUAAACCUCUUUCGCCAGGGACGAAGCGCAAGUGACGGUACCUGGAUAAGAAGCACCGGCCAACUACGUGCCAGCAGCCGCGGUAAUACGUAGGGUGCGAGCGUUGUCCGGAAUUAUUGGGCGUAAAGAGCUCGUAGGCGGUGUGUCACGUCGAUCGUGAAAACUUGGGGCUUAACUCUGAGCUUGCGGUCGAUACGGGCAUCACUGGAGUUCGGCAGGGGAGACUGGAAUUCCUGGUGUAGCGGUGAAAUGCGCAGAUAUCAGGAGGAACACCGGUGGCGAAGGCGGGUCUCUGGGCCGAUACUGACGCUGAGGAGCGAAAGCGUGGGGAGCGAACA
This 408-nucleotide ribosomal RNA is filed under the name uncultured Pseudonocardia sp. Its description in RNAcentral is "bacterial SSU rRNA". It matches the Rfam family "Bacterial small subunit ribosomal RNA", at positions 355 to 774 of the family's 1533-position model. Lineage: Bacteria; Bacillati; Actinomycetota; Actinomycetes; Pseudonocardiales; Pseudonocardiaceae. The record is from RNAcentral.